Patella vulgata (common limpet) is the source of this 148-nucleotide long non-coding RNA. RefSeq lists it as uncharacterized. The transcript is spliced from 3 exons. Lineage: Eukaryota; Metazoa; Mollusca; Gastropoda; Patellidae. The record is from RefSeq and is a predicted model, not a curated record.
AAAAGUGAUUGCUACAAAGGUAGAACUCUACCAAGAACAAGAUCAACAGUGCCACAUUGAAUCUGAGAUAAAACAGCCCCAGCUCCAAAAUUGGAAGCGUCGGAAUCGAUAAUGAACAAGCCCUCUGGCUGGGGAAAUGACAGAAUCG